RNAcentral lists this ribosomal RNA (400 nucleotides) under uncultured bacterium. Its description in RNAcentral is "bacterial SSU rRNA". It matches the Rfam family "Bacterial small subunit ribosomal RNA", at positions 355 to 747 of the family's 1533-position model. The record is from RNAcentral.
UGGGGAAUAUUGGACAAUGGGCGCAAGCCUGAUCCAGCAAUGCCGCGUGGGUGAAGACGGCCUGCGGGUUGUAAAGCCCUUUAGGCGGGGAGGAACGGCGUCGUGCGAACAGUGCGGCGUUCUGACGGUACCCGUGGAAUAAGCACCGGCUAACUCCGUGCCAGCAGCCGCGGUAAUACGGAGGGUGCGAGCGUUAAUCGGAAUUACUGGGCGUAAAGCGUGCGUAGGCGGUUUGGUCAGUCAGCCGUGAAAGCCCUGGGCUCAACCUGGGAACGGCGGUUGAGACGGCGAAACUGGAGUGGGCUAGAGGACCGUGGAAUUCCGGGUGUAGCGGUGAAAUGCGUAGAGAUCCGGAGGAACACCGAUGGCGAAGGCAGCGGUCUGGGGCCACACUGACGCU